RNAcentral lists this ribosomal RNA (492 nucleotides) under uncultured bacterium. Its description in RNAcentral is "partial 16S ribosomal RNA". It matches the Rfam family "Bacterial small subunit ribosomal RNA", at positions 29 to 507 of the family's 1533-position model. The record is from RNAcentral.
AGUGAACGCUGGCGGUAGGCCUAACACAUGCAAGUCGAACGGCAGCACAGUAAGAGCUUGCUCUUACGGGUGGCGAGUGGCGGACGGGUGAGGAAUACAUCGGAAUCUACUUUUUCGUGGGGGAUAACGUAGGGAAACUUACGCUAAUACCGCAUACGACCUACGGGUGAAAGCAGGGGAUCUUCGGACCUUGCGCGAUUGAAUGAGCCGAUGUCGGAUUAGCUAGUUGGCGGGGUAAAGGCCCACCAAGGCGACGAUCCGUAGCUGGUCUGAGAGGAUGAUCCGCCACACUGGAACUGAGACACGGUCCAGACUCCUACGGGAGGCAGCGGUAGGGAAUAUUGGACAAUGGGCGCAAGCCUGAUCCAGCCAUACCGCGUGGGUGAAGAAGGCCUUCGGGUUGUAAAGCCCUUUUGUUGGGAAAGAAAAGCAGCAGGUUAAUACCCCGCUGUUCUGACGGUACCCAAAGAAUAAGCACCGGCUAACUUCGUG